UGCUUUGCAUUGGACUGAACAACUGUUUCAUAACAGUUGCCGUUAAAAUCUUCUUAUCACAUGAUCUAUCAUAUCAUUUCUUGUAGUUUUCUGGUUUUUACAUUUAGUACAAUUUUUAAUAACUGAAGGAAUUCCCAGCUGGAGAGUUUAGAAAUACUAAUGAAAUUGUGAACUCAUGUCAGCAACUGAAAGGUUUUCAGUGUAAAGAAGCUGGAAAUCCAGAGUCUUCAGCAGCUCAGUUCUACUGUG
This is a non-coding RNA of Coturnix japonica (Japanese quail), 249 nucleotides long. The record is from RefSeq and is a predicted model, not a curated record. Lineage: Eukaryota; Metazoa; Chordata; Aves; Galliformes; Phasianidae.